CCCUUAGAUGUUCUGGGCCGCACGCGCGCUACACUGAUGCAUUCAACGAGUCUAAAACCUGCUCUGAUAGGGGUGGGUAAUCUUUUGAAUGUGCAUCGUGAUUGGGAUAGAUGAUUGCAAUUUUUCAUCUUCAACGAGGAAUGCCUAGUAAACGCAAGUCAUCAGCUUGCAUUGAUUACGUCCCUGCCCUUUGUACACACCGCCCGUCGCUCCUACCGAUUGAAUGAUCCGAUGAAUAUCAUGGAUUGAGGAUGCAAGUAGGUUAGCCUAUCUUCAUCUUCUAGAAGUGAAGUAAAUCUUAUCAUUUAGAGGAAGGAGAAGUCGUAACA
Molecule: ribosomal RNA, 329 nt
Filed under: uncultured eukaryote
Lineage: Eukaryota
Description: partial 18S ribosomal RNA
Rfam family: Eukaryotic small subunit ribosomal RNA
Source: RNAcentral